GGGGACGUUCCAAAGGGUGUUACCAAGGGGCGGGCGAACAGUUAGCCGCUUGCUCCUUUACGUAGCGCGGACGGGUGAGUAACACGUGGGUAACCUACUUUUUAGACUGGAAUAACUCCGGGAAACCGGGGCUAUGCCGGAUAACAGUUGAACCGCAUGGUUCUAAAGUGAAAGAUGGUUUUGCUAUCACUUAUAGAUGGACCCGCGCCGUAUUAGCUAGUUGGGAAAGGUAACCGGCUUACCAAGGCAACGAUACGUAGCCGACCUGAGAGGGUGAUCGGCACACUGGAACCUGAGACACGGUCCAGACUCCUCCGGGAGGCAGCCGGUACGGAAUCCUUCCGCAAUUGGGCGAAAAGCCUGACGGAACAACGCCGCGGUGAGUGAUGAAGGUCUUCGGAUCGUAAAACUCUGUUAUUAGGAAGAACAAAUGUGAAGUAACUGUGCUGGUCUUCACGGUACCUAAUCAGAAAGCCACGGGCAUAACCUUCGUGCCAUGCAGCCGCGGUAAUACGUAGGUGGCAAGCCGUUAUCCAGGAAUUAUUGGGCGUAAACGCGCGCGUAGGCGGUUUCUUAACGUCUGAUGUGAAAGCCCACGGCUCAACCGUGAUGGGUCAUUGGAAACUGGGAAACUUGAGUGCAGAAGAGGAAAGUGAAUUCCAUGUGAGCGGUAAAUGCGCAGAGAUUAUGACGGAACACCAGUGGCGAAGGCGACCUUUCAUGGUCUGUACGACGUGUAUGUGUAACCUGACCCGCACGUUAGUCCCCCCGGGUAGUCCCCCCCGUAAACGAUGAGUCUUAAGUGUAGGGGGUUUCGCCCUUUAGUGGCCUGCAGUUACGGCAUUAAGCACUCCCCCUGGGAGUCGCCCGCAAAGGUUGAACCUCAAAGGAUUUGCGGGGACCCGCCCAAGCGGUGGAGCAUGUGGUUUAAUUUCGAAGCAACGCGAAGAACCUUACCAAAUCUUUGACAUCCUUUUGACAACUUCUAGAGAUAGAGCCUUCCCCUUCGGGGACAAAGUACAGGUGGUGCAUGGUUGUCGUCAGCUUCGUGUCGUGAGAUGUUGGGUUAAGUCCCGCAACGAGCGCAACCCUUAAGCUUUAGUUGCCAGCAUUAAGUUGGGCACUCUAAGUUGACUGCCGGUGACAAACCGGAGGAAGGUGGGGAUGACGUCAAAUCAUCAUGCCCCUUAUGAUUUGGGCUACACACGUGCUACAAUGGACAAUACAAAGGGCAGCUAAACCGCGAGGUCAUGCAAAUCCCAUAAAGUUGUUCUCAGUUCGGAUUGUAGUCUGCAACUCGAGCUACAUGAAGCUGGAAUCGCUAGUAAUCGAGAUCAGCAUGCUACGGUGAAUACAGUUCCCGGGUCUUGUACACACCGCCCGUCACACCACGAGAGGUUUGUAACACCCGAAGCCGGUGGAGUACCACUUAUGGCCCUUGGAAAUCAACCCUUUGGAUACUCUGG
Molecule: ribosomal RNA, 1466 nt
Filed under: Staphylococcus sp. SKW24-1
Lineage: Bacteria; Bacillati; Bacillota; Bacilli; Caryophanales; Staphylococcaceae
Description: partial 16S ribosomal RNA
Rfam family: Bacterial small subunit ribosomal RNA
Source: RNAcentral